This is an RNA transcript of Carassius auratus (goldfish), 1252 nucleotides long. It is a transcript of the gene named cold-inducible RNA-binding protein-like, with no coding region annotated. The transcript is spliced from 9 exons. NCBI's taxonomy places the organism in Eukaryota, Metazoa, Chordata, Actinopteri, Cypriniformes, Cyprinidae. The record is from RefSeq and is a predicted model, not a curated record.
GGAAAACUCAUUUUGAUGGAGGACAGAUAUGUAAAUGAGCGUGUGUUAGGCCCCGCCCCCCUGCGCAGAGUAUAUAAGCGCUGCUCGGCGCUCUGCUGCGUCUCUGAAGUUCUGAUCGUGUUCAAGACGUGCAUCAUCUCACCUGCAACUGCGACAUCACAGAUCACAAUGUCUGACGAAGGAAAGCUGUUUGUCGGUGGACUGAGUUUCGAUACCACCGAACAGUCGCUAGAGGACGCUUUCGCCAAAUAUGGCGUCAUCACCAACGUGCAUGUGGCCCGAAACCGAGAAACCAACAGAUCCAGAGGAUUCGGAUUCGUGACCUUUGAGAACCCAGAAGAUGCGAAGGACGCGAUGGAGGGAAUGAAUGGAAAGUCUGUGGACGGCCGGACGAUCCGUGUGGAUGAGGCUGGGAAGGGCGGCGGUGGAGGAGGUGGACGCUCCGGUGGAGGAUCCUACAGAGGAGGUGGAGGAGGAGGCGGUGGAGGCUUCUACAGAGGAGGCCGAGGAAGAGGAGGUGGAGGCAGCUACGGCGGUGGAGACCGCGGAUACGGAGGAGACCGGAGCUAUGGCAGCGGUGGAGGAUAUAAGAGCGGAGGAGGUGGAGGUUACUCCUCUGGAGGAGGUGGAGGAUACAGCAGAGACAGGAAUUCUGGGAACAGCGACCGUGGCAGCUCUUACAGAGACAGCUAUGAUAGUUAUGGUUGAGUUCUCAUCGGAGAGCGUCUGGGGUUUGAAGAAGCUCGAGGACUGAUGGAUCAUGUCUGUUCCUCUGAGGCCGAAGCGUGAGAUGAUGGAACGGCGAGCAGAUGAUGAAAGCUCGAGGAGGUUCUUGAACAGCAGCUGUUGAAAGCCCUUUACCAGCUUUGGUUAUUCUUUCCUUAACAACGACCAGCCUUCUGGAAAUCAGUUGUAAAUCUGAUGAUGCAGUAUUCUCUCCAAAUACUGGCCUGUCUUCUGCUCUGGAAUUGAGACUCAGUAACACUUUACUGUAACCUUCUGAAAAUCAUGUUACUCAGUGCAAUACAAGAGCGAUAAAUUUGUAACAGUCUGUAUCUUUGUUAAUAAAAAUCCACCUGUUCUUUGAGUUGUUAACUAGUUUUGAUGUUAAAAAUACAUUUGUACAUGUUUGAGGUAAACGUUGAUUAGUUUAAUGCCUUAGAAGUAUUUCAUGUAAGUUAAUGUGGUUAACUAAAUUAAGUUUUUCUCAUGUUUGUGGAUUAUUUUGACCUUAAUAAAAUAUGAAAAAUGA